GGAACGAUUAUUCCAAAGAGUUUAAUGGCUGCCUAGUGUGACAUCGCACAGAUGGCCCCGAUCCGCUGAACCCUUCCUGUGGAGAACCGUUCAUUUGGCCAACGAACAGGGACCGAGGACCCUGGAGCCCUCGGAGCAUAAGCGACGAACGUUCCCAGGAAGCAACAACUCAGCCCAGGCAUGGGCUAGUCGGAGCCUGGAGAUCUCAGCUGGGAUCCUGGCGCCUGGGGAAGGGCCCGGCUCUAAAAAUAAACUGCUCGCCUCAGCCUGGGAGCAGCCGUGCGAGCCUGGCGAGCAGGGGCUGCUGCCCGCCACUCCGGGCAGAUGACGGCGGGCCUGGCCCAGCCAGAGUGCCCCCCUCUCUGGCAGCUGGCCACUGGGACAGGCUGGUGGCAGCUGGCAGCCAGGAAUAUUUGACCCCCGACUCCCGGAGGUGCCCCCCCACCCCCAACCGCCCUGCCGCACACGUGAAUACACAUAUGCCCCAACCUGGGACGUGCUCCGCAGAGCGUGGCCAGACUGCUCCCGGGGACCAGCCGGUGAGGGGCAGUGGGGACGCCAGGAGGUGCCCUCCGCAUGCUGGACAGUGACAAGUCUCAGAACAGGUUCACAGGAAGAAGCCCGUUUCGGUGGGGGCUGCCUUGGGCAUUGAGCUGGGCCCAGUGGAACUGAAUCGAAGCGAGGGGACCCAUCCUGGCAGCUCUGCACCUUUGUCCCCUGGUGCUCGGGGGGCUGUCAAAUCUGACUUUCCGCCUAAAUGGAUUUCUGUGCCUGCUCCCUGGGCACGAUAUUCACCCAAAGUCGAGGCGAUUAGGGCUAAUUCCAUUUCCUCCGGUGCCCGGGAGGGGGCAGGCGGGGAGAGGGGCUCCGUGGAGGGGGGCCUGCUGGCUGCCUUCAUCCCCAUUUAUCAGAGGAGAGCAGGUGCUGGGC
RNAcentral lists this long non-coding RNA (930 nucleotides) under Equus caballus (horse). RNAcentral's name for it is "lncRNA (ENSECAG00000060248.1)". The record is from RNAcentral. Lineage: Eukaryota; Metazoa; Chordata; Mammalia; Perissodactyla; Equidae.